GAAAUGCGAUAAGUAAUGUGAAUUGCAGAAUUCAGUGAAUCAUCGAAUCUUUGAACGCACAUUGCGCCCGCCAGUAUUCUGGCGGGCAUGCCUGUUCGAGCGUCAUUUCAACCAUCAAGCCCCCGGCUUGUGUUGGGGACCUGCGGCUGCCCGCGGGCCCUGAAAAACAGUGGCGGGCUCGCUGUCACACCGAGCGUAGUAGCAUACAUUCUCGCUCAGGGCGUGCUGCGGGUUCCGGCCGUUAAACGACCUUCAUAACCCAAGGUUGACCUCGGAUCAGGUAGGAAGACCCGCUGAACUUAAGC
Molecule: unclassified non-coding RNA, 305 nt
Filed under: plant metagenome
Description: partial contains 5.8S ribosomal RNA, internal transcribed spacer 2, and large subunit ribosomal RNA
Rfam family: 5.8S ribosomal RNA (bases 1-105)
Source: RNAcentral